Molecule: long non-coding RNA, 848 nt
Organism: Vigna radiata var. radiata (mung bean)
Lineage: Eukaryota; Viridiplantae; Streptophyta; Magnoliopsida; Fabales; Fabaceae
Exons: 3
Source: RefSeq, a predicted model, not a curated record
UUAGAAUAAAAUGGAACUUCGAAGAGCUCUUCAUCUGGAACUCCUUAAUUUUUCACCCCUCGUCAUCUCCAAAUCUCGUUCUCCUCUGCAUUUUUCGAGUUCCUAGAACAUCUAUUCCUUAGGUUUUUCUCCAUUUCCAUCGAUUGAUUUCCAUUUUGCAUCGAUUAAACUACUUUCCACCGAACAAACUAGCAUUUCCACCGUUUAAUCUUGCAUUUGAACCGAUUAAUCGGUUCAUUGAGUUUCUUCAUCUUUCUAGGGUUCCUUCGUGUUCAGGGUUCUUCCUCAACCUAGGGUUUUCAACCGAUUAACCUAGGGUUUUAGAGUUUAUGUGAGUUCAUCCUCUCCUUCGAAUUAUCGUCAUCAUUCCGCUACGAUUCAUUCACCGGAGGGAGCUUCAAGAAGUUAACAUCGCUUCGCUUAGUGUUCUUCUCGGAGCGGCUUCCAUCAUCUCUUCUUCCUCUUUUGUUUUCUUUUUAUUUUUCUUAUCCGAAACCAUAGGGCNAGAGGGGAAAUAGCGGCAAGUGAGAGAGAGGACAUUAAACGUCCGGAGAGAAACAUAACUAGGGAUUAAGGCUUGGUUUCAAGGUGAGUAAUGGAAAAAGGGGAAUCUAAGGCGGGUGUUAGGGUUCGAGUUGAGUGAGAGAAAGAGGUUGCUGGGUUUUAAGCUCGGUAGAAGAAGUUGUGCAGUGAGGAAGAUUAAUUUUCCAGGCUCUUUCUGCUCCUGAUCUGUCAGCUGUUGGUGAACGUUAUUACAAGGUCACUGCAGAAGCCUUGAGAGUAUGUGGAGAACUUGUUUGGGUUGUGCGGCCAAACAUUGAGGAGGUUAAGGAGUGUGCUAUUUCCUG